CAAACGUCGAUUAAAAUCCAAUUCUAUAACUUUGUUUUACAAGCAUACCUAUUGGAGUUUCGUUUUUAGAUCGGAAAAUGAUGUCGAAAUCGACAGGAAGUUUUAAUUAAACAAGUUUUUGACUUAUUAGAUUCUUUUUUUUAGGUCUGAGUGAUUAAAAUUCUAGAUCACUGAUUUCAUAGUAGAAAUCUGGAAGAUGUCGUUUUAUUAUAAUUUUGUUAUAUUAUUCCUAUUUGUAAAAAUAAAUUAUAUUGUAGCUGAAAAAAAUUAUAAAAGUUUGUAUAAACAGAACUGUUGGAUCGAUCCAAGUGGUGCUAAGAAGAUACAUUUAAGGGUAAAACGGCAUGUUGAGCCAAUGACCGAAAAUGUACUGACUCAUGCUCUCAGAGAAACAAAACAGAAAAAUCCAUACGUGAAAAAGAAAGGAUUUCAUAAGAAACAAUCCUUAAAUAAAAACGUGAUGCAAACGCUGAAGAAGAAGAUCCAGUUGUUUUUAAGGAAUAAGAUAAAGAACCGAAUAAACUAUUGAAUAAAUUUU
This is a long non-coding RNA of Maniola jurtina (meadow brown), 538 nucleotides long. RefSeq lists it as uncharacterized. The transcript has 3 exons. The record is from RefSeq and is a predicted model, not a curated record. NCBI's taxonomy places the organism in Eukaryota, Metazoa, Arthropoda, Insecta, Lepidoptera, Nymphalidae.